UACUAGCGGUCCAAGUCGCAGCCAUCAUUAUUGGGUCUAAAACAUCCGUAGCUUGCUUAAUAAGUUCCUUGUGAAAUCUUGUCUCUUAAGGGCAAGGCGUGCAAGGAAUACUGCUAAGCUAGAGACUGGAAGACGUAGAAAGUAUGUUCAAAGUAGCGGUAAAAUGUGUUAAUCUUGAGCAGACUCACAAUAGCGAAGGCAUUCUACGAGGACAGUUCUGACAGUAAAGGAUGAAGGCUAGGGGCGCAAAAUG
Molecule: ribosomal RNA, 253 nt
Filed under: uncultured archaeon
Lineage: Archaea
Description: partial 16S ribosomal RNA
Rfam family: Archaeal small subunit ribosomal RNA
Source: RNAcentral